This 253-nucleotide ribosomal RNA is filed under the name uncultured bacterium. Its description in RNAcentral is "partial 16S ribosomal RNA". It matches the Rfam family "Bacterial small subunit ribosomal RNA", at positions 524 to 776 of the family's 1533-position model. The record is from RNAcentral.
GACGUAGGGCGCAAGCGUUGUCCGGAUUUAUUGGGCGUAAAGAGCUCGUAGGCGGUUUGUCACGUCGGAUGUGAAAACCCGAGGCUUAACCUCGGGCCUGCAUUCGAUACGGGCUGACUAGAGUUCGGUAGGGGAGACUGGAAUUCCUGGUGUAGCGGUGAAAUGCGCAGAUAUCAGGAAGAACACCCGUGGCGAAGGCGGCUCUCUGGGACGGUACUGACGCUGAGACGCGAAAGCGUGGGGAGCAAACAGG